UCGGCCGCCAUUUUGUUUUGUCUGCUAGAGGUGACAAUAAUCAGGGAAUCAUUGUUAUGAAUUCUUGAAGGGUGACCCGGUCUGCCUCAAAGCUGUCCGAGGACUGGGCUGUGGAUACUGCUACCGGCAGGUGAUUCCAGAGUCGGAUGGCUGCCUUCAAGAAGGUGUCAGAUCGCGAUCACGUAAAAGACGAUUUUAGUAUCCAAGUAUGGCUUCAUCAACCAAAGCGACGUAGGACAUCCCAGACAUCUACUGCAACGGAUUCGCACUGGGUUCUUACGUGUAUCCGUCCAAUGAGUUGCAGGCCAAUGUAUCACAAUUUACACGUCCACAUUGUGAACCUUUAGAUAGGUCAAAAAACAACUUUCGGUGAAGUGGGCAGACGUGAAAUGGUUUAGGUUCGAUUAUGUUUCUAUCAAAAAGAACAACGACAGAGAUGUGAACUGUAAAGAAAACAGCAAUGAUUUGACUAUCACCGGGUGUACUUAAACCCACGUUAUCUGGAUAAUGAGUAAUGUGAGUUAUAAGUAACACACCCUUCAAGCUAAUUCGUGUUAAUGUCAAUUUUAUCUUUUCAUUUCAAAUAUAUAUGACACAUUAUUCACUUGCAGGACAAAUUCAUUUAAUUUGCCAAAAAGACGACGCGAAAAAGCAGAGGAAAUCGAAGAGAUCAGACGUAUCAAAGCCUUCUGACGUGCCGAGAGGGUGUCACCCCGUGCGCUUACACCAUAAGUGCGACGAAUCUAAACUUUUGCCUUCCAGAAGACUUGUUAUUGAACUACAGAAUCUUGAUUAUAAAAUGAACAGUACUUGAGCUAUGUAUGGAACUUAACAUUAAAUAUGUUGAAAAACUGUUUUUUAUUUCUGAUCUAUAUAUGUAUAUGAAUGUUCCAAAUUUUAAAGGGCGUCCUGACGCAAUACAAUAUUUAAUUUCAGGAAUUAUUCAAUGCAUUUAAAUUAGUUAGUGAAUGAUCGCUUAAAACACAAACCUCUUUUUAAAGAGUCUUUGAAAACAUGUAUUUAAGCAUUGAGGCAAACGUUAUAUUUACUUUUGUCUUUAAGAUUACAUCAAUAAUGUAUUAUCUCUAGUA
Dreissena polymorpha is the source of this 1091-nucleotide long non-coding RNA. RefSeq lists it as uncharacterized. Lineage: Eukaryota; Metazoa; Mollusca; Bivalvia; Myida; Dreissenidae. The record is from RefSeq and is a predicted model, not a curated record. The transcript has 3 exons.